This 71-nucleotide transfer RNA is filed under the name Bos taurus (domestic cattle). It matches the Rfam family "tRNA". From Rfam's summary of the family: Transfer RNA (tRNA) molecules are approximately 80 nucleotides in length. Their secondary structure includes four short double-helical elements and three loops (D, anti-codon, and T loops). Further hydrogen bonds mediate the characteristic L-shaped molecular structure. tRNAs have two regions of fundamental functional importance: the anti-codon, which is responsible for specific mRNA codon recognition, and the 3' end, to which the tRNAs corresponding amino acid is attached (by aminoacyl-tRNA synthetases). tRNAs cope with the degeneracy of the genetic code in two manners: having more than one tRNA (with a specific anti-codon) for a particular amino acid; and 'wobble' base-pairing, i.e. permitting non-standard base-pairing at the 3rd anti-codon position. RNAcentral also lists the same sequence under 4 other names. Lineage: Eukaryota; Metazoa; Chordata; Mammalia; Artiodactyla; Bovidae. The record is from Rfam by way of RNAcentral.
UCCCUGAUAGCUCAAUCGGUGAAGAAUCUGCCUGCAAUGCAGGAAAUCCCAGUUCGAAUCUGGUUUGGGAA